This 253-nucleotide ribosomal RNA is filed under the name uncultured bacterium. RNAcentral's name for it is "partial 16S ribosomal RNA". It matches the Rfam family "Bacterial small subunit ribosomal RNA", at positions 524 to 776 of the family's 1533-position model. The record is from RNAcentral.
UACGUAGGGGGCAAGCGUUGUCCGGAUUUAUUGGGCGUAAAGAGCGUGUAGGCGGCCAAGCAGGUCCGCUGUGAAAACUCGAGGCUCAACCUCGAGACGUCGGUGGAAACCGUUUGGCUAGAGUCCGGAAGAGGAGAGUGGAAUUCCCGGUGUAGCGGUGAAAUGCGCAGAUAUCGGGAGGAACACCAAUGGCGAGGGCAGCUCGCUGGGACGUUACUGACGCUGAGACGCGAAAGCGUGGGGAGCAAACAGG